This 1811-nucleotide long non-coding RNA is filed under the name Homo sapiens (human). RNAcentral describes it as "non-protein coding NEAT1:4". The stretch from base 944 to 1102 matches the Rfam family "Nuclear enriched abundant transcript 1 conserved region 3". The record is from RNAcentral. Lineage: Eukaryota; Metazoa; Chordata; Mammalia; Primates; Hominidae.
GCAAAAGUUGUGGCAAGUCCAGCCGGAGUUAGCGACAGGGAGGGAUGCGCGCCUGGGUGUAGUUGUGGGGGAGGAAGUGGCUAGCUCAGGGCUUCAGGGGACAGACAGGGAGAGAUGACUGAGUUAGAUGAGACGAGGGGGCGGGCUGGGGGUGCGAGAAGGAAGCUUGGCAAGGAGACUAGGUCUAGGGGGACCACAGUGGGGCAGGCUGCAUGGAAAAUAUCCGCAGGGUCCCCCAGGCAGAACAGCCACGCUCCAGGCCAGGCUGUCCCUACUGCCUGGUGGAGGGGGAACUUGACCUCUGGGAGGGCGCCGCUCUUGCAUAGCUGAGCGAGCCCGGGUGCGCUGGUCUGUGUGGAAGGAGGAAGGCAGGGAGAGGUAGAAGGGGUGGAGGAGUCAGGAGGAAUAGGCCGCAGCAGCCCUGGAAAUGAUCAGGAAGGCAGGCAGUGGGUGCAGGGCUGCAGGAGGGCCGGGAGGGCUAAUCUUCAACUUGUCCAUGCCAGCAGCCCCUUUUUUUCCAGACCAAGGGCUGUGAACCCGCCUGGGGAUGAGGCCUGGUCUUGUGGAACUGAACUUAGCUCGACGGGGCUGACCGCUCUGGCCCAGGGUGGUGGCAGUGCUCCUUUUGGACUUUUCUCUAGGUUUGGCGCUAAACUCUUCUUGUGAGCUCACUCCACCCCUUCUUCCUCCCUUUAACUUAUCCAUUCACUUAAAACAUUACCUGGUCAUCUGGUAAGCCCGGGACAGUAAGCCGAGUGGCUGUUGGAGUCGGUAUUGUUGGUAAUGGUGGAGGAAGAGAGGCCUUCCCGCUGAGGCUGGGGUGGGGCGGAUCGGUGUUGCUUGCCUGCAGAGAGGGUGGGGAGUGAAUGUGCACCCUUGGGUGGGCCUGCAGCCAUCCAGCUGAAAGUUACAAAAAUGCUUCAUGGACCGUGGUUUGUUACUAUAGUGUUCCUCAUGGCGAGCAGAUGGAACCGGGAGACAUGGAGUCCCUGGCCAGUGUGAGUCCUAGCAUUGCAGGAGGGGAGACCCUGGAGGAGAGAGCCCGCCUCAAUUGAUGCCUGCAGAUUGAAUUUCCAGAGGCUUAGGAGGAGGAAGUUCUCCAAUGUUCUGUUUCCAGGCCUUGCUCAGGAAGCCCUGUAUUCAGGAGGCUACCAUUUAAAGUUUGCAGAUGAGCUUAUGGGGGGCAAUCUUAAAAAGUCCACAGCAGAUGCAUCCGGCUCGAGGGGCCAUCAGCUUUGAAUAAAUGCUUGUUCCAGAGCCCAUGAAUGCCAGCAGGCACCCCUCCUUUCCUGGGGUAAAGGUUUUCAGAUGCUGCAUCUUCUAAAUUGAGCCUCCGGUCAUACUAGUUUUGUGCUUGGAACCUUGCUUCAAGAAGAUCCCUAAGCUGUAGAACAUUUUAACGUUGAUGCCACAACGCAGAUUGAUGCCUUGUAGAUGGAGCUUGCAGAUGGAGCCCCGUGACCUCUCACCUACCCACCUGUUUGCCUGCCUUCUUGUGCGUUUCUCGGAGAAGUUCUUAGCCUGAUGAAAUAACUUGGGGCGUUGAAGAGCUGUUUAAUUUUAAAUGCCUUAGACUGGGGAUAUAUUAGAGGAAGCAGAUUGUCAAAUUAAGGGUGUCAUUGUGUUGUGCUAAACGCUGGGAGGGUACAAGUUGGUCAUUCCUAAAUCUGUGUGUGAGAAAUGGCAGGUCUAGUUUGGGCAUUGUGAUUGCAUUGCAGAUUACUAGGAGAAGGGAAUGGUGGGUACACCGGUAGUGCUCUUUUGUUCUUGCUUCGUUUUUUUAAACUUGAACUUUACUUCGUUAGAUUUCA